Molecule: long non-coding RNA, 243 nt
Filed under: Olea europaea (common olive)
Lineage: Eukaryota; Viridiplantae; Streptophyta; Magnoliopsida; Lamiales; Oleaceae
Description: long non-coding RNA (OEUR_LNC004457)
Source: RNAcentral
CAAAAAUUGUUCCAUGAAGCCAUCAAAUUGAUCAGAGGUGGUGCAUUUUGGAAGUAGGUCAUAUCAAACCCUUGAUGAAUUUUCACUUAUUACUUCCUCAAUUGGUAAUGCUUGUGUGGAUGAUUUGUUGGAGUAUGUUGACGGGGUUAAACUGCUGAUAUAAGGGGCAUUUUCCGAGUGGCUUAGGUGGUCGGUUGAGGGUGAUUUGAAGGUGGUGAUGGGGUUGGGGGAGAAGGAAAUGGU